RNAcentral lists this small nuclear RNA (23 nucleotides) under Arabidopsis thaliana (thale cress). RNAcentral describes it as "snRNA_13855". Lineage: Eukaryota; Viridiplantae; Streptophyta; Magnoliopsida; Brassicales; Brassicaceae. The record is from RNAcentral.
AUAUCGAUCACGAAAGUGGAAAA